Non-coding RNA from Pelobates cultripes (western spadefoot toad), 217 nucleotides. NCBI's taxonomy places the organism in Eukaryota, Metazoa, Chordata, Amphibia, Anura, Pelobatidae. The record is from the annotation of a GenBank genome assembly.
UUUCCAGGCAGGAUUUUGUCACAGAUCUUCUAACCACAGCCUUCUAGGGUAAUGAAAGUCCAGGACACAUCCAGCUCAGUUUUUCAGAUUUAUUUGGUGAAAUAUAUAUACAGGUGUUUCAAAAUGAAAAAUAAACAAAACAAAAUUCCUUGCUCUUGCUUGAGCACUUACUAUACACAACAAAUCCCUAUCUGGAAUUGGGUGGCUUUCCCACUUG